UACGUAGGGUGCAAGCGUUACUCGGAAUUACUGGGCGUAAAGCGUGCGCAGGCGGUCUUGCAAGACAGAUGUGAAAUCCCCGGGCUUAACCUGGGAAUGGCAUUUGAGACUGCAUAGCUAGGGUGCGGAAGAGGGAAGCGGAAUUUCCGGUGUAGCGGUGAAAUGCGUAGAUAUCGGAAGGAACACCAGUGGCGAAAGCGGCUCCCUGGUCCAGCACCGACGUUCAGGCACGAAAGCGUGGGGAGCAAACAGG
RNAcentral lists this ribosomal RNA (253 nucleotides) under uncultured bacterium. RNAcentral's name for it is "partial 16S ribosomal RNA". It matches the Rfam family "Bacterial small subunit ribosomal RNA", at positions 524 to 776 of the family's 1533-position model. The record is from RNAcentral.